RNAcentral lists this ribosomal RNA (418 nucleotides) under uncultured bacterium. RNAcentral describes it as "bacterial SSU rRNA". It matches the Rfam family "Bacterial small subunit ribosomal RNA", at positions 917 to 1338 of the family's 1533-position model. The record is from RNAcentral.
GGGCCCGCACAAGCGGUGGAGCAUGUGGUUUAAUUCGAUGAUACGCGAGGAACCUUACCAGGGCUUAAAUGUAAGUUGCAUAAAUCAGAGAUGAUUUUUUCUUCGGACUACUUACAAGGUGCUGCAUGGUUGUCGUCAGCUCGUGCCGUGAGGUGUCAGGUUAAGUCCUAUAACGAGCGCAACCCCUGUCGUUAGUUGCCAUCAAGUAAUGUUGGGUACUCUAGCGAGACUGCCGGUGCAAACCGAGAGGAAGGUGGGGAUGACGUCAAAUCAUCACGGCCCUUACGUCCUGGGCUACACACGUGCUACAAUGGCCGGUACAGAGAGCAGCCACUACGCGAGUAGGAGCGAAUCUUCAAAACCGGUCUCAGUUCGGAUCGCAGUCUGCAACUCGACUGCGUGAAGCUGGAAUCGCUAG